RNAcentral lists this unclassified non-coding RNA (498 nucleotides) under uncultured Glomus. RNAcentral describes it as "SSU rRNA". It matches the Rfam family "Eukaryotic small subunit ribosomal RNA", at positions 591 to 1092 of the family's 1831-position model. The record is from RNAcentral. Lineage: Eukaryota; Fungi; Glomeromycota; Glomeromycetes; Glomerales; Glomeraceae.
CCAAUAGCGUAUAUUAAAGUUGUUGCAGUUAAAAAGCUCGUAGUUGAAUUUCGGGGUUAGUAAGUUGGUCGUGCCACUGGUAUGUACUGGCUUUACUGAUUCCUCCUUCUUGUAGAACCGUAAUGCCAUUAAGUUGGUGUUGCGGGGAAACAGGACUGUUACUUUGAAAAAAUUAGUGUUUAAAGCAAGCUAACGCUUGAAUACAUUAGCAUGGAAUAAUGAAAUAGGACGUUCGAUCCUAUUUUGUUGGUUUCUAGGAUUGACGUAAUGAUUAAUAGGGAUAGUUGGGGGCAUUAGUAUUCAAUUGUCAGAGGAGAAAUUCUUGGAUUUAUUGAAGACUAACUACUGCGAAAGCUUUUGCCAAGGAUGUUUUCAUUAAUCAAGAACGAAAGUUAGGGGAUCGAAGACGAUCAGAUACCGUCGUAGUCUUAACCAUAAACUAUGCCGACUAGGGAUCGGAUGAUGUUAAUUUUAUAAUGACUCAUUCGGCGCCUUACG